RNAcentral lists this long non-coding RNA (619 nucleotides) under Octopus vulgaris (common octopus). Lineage: Eukaryota; Metazoa; Mollusca; Cephalopoda; Octopoda; Octopodidae. The record is from RNAcentral.
AGAGACAGACAGAGAGUCGGAAAGUGAGAGAGAAAGAAUAUGUCGUGCAAAAAGCCAAACAAAUCAAGCGCACCAUAACAAAACAACGUACAUGUGACGCCAUCUAGAGCGCUCACUUCUUAUGAAUAUAGUAGAAAGGAAACAACAGACUUACUGAGCGUUGAUAUAUAUUUUGGUUUUGAAAGAAAUUGAGAACGAUAGAGCGAUAGAGUAUAUGAGGGAGAGAUAGCUACGGAGAGUAAGAGAGUUAAGAGAGUAAGGAAGAGAGGGUAGCUGAGAACGUAUUUCUUAAGAUUAUAUACUGCCGAAAAUAUCGACGUAAAGCAAUUCCUAAGGAAAACAGGAAACAGUGUCAACAAGCGCAUGCAGACACACAGACACAAACCAAACGUAUACCACAUCGUAUCAUAUCAUAAUUCCAUAGACAUACAUACAUAAAUACAUACAUACAUACAUACAUAAAUACAUACAUAUAUAGGCAUAUAUACAGACACAACGCGAACGUUCAUAUAAACUCUCUCUCACACACACACACGUACAGAUUCAUGUGUGUUGGUGCAUAUACCACAAACAUAUAUACUCCAAGACUGCUUUUUAAUGAAGAAAGAAGAUUAUAAGG